AUUGAACGCUGGCGGCAGGCCUAACACAUGCAAGUCGAGCGGAUGAAGGGAGCUUGCUCCUGGCUUCAGCGGCGGACGGGUGAGUAAUGCCUAGGAAUCUGCCUGGUAGUGGGGGAUAACGUCCGGAAACGGGUGCUAAUACCGCAUACGUCCUGAGGGAGAAAGAGGUGGAUCUUCGGACCUCACGCUAACAGAUGAGCCUAGGUCGGAUUAGCUAGUAGGUGGGGUAAAGGCCUACCAAGGCGACGAUCCGUAACUGGUCUGAGAGGAUGAUCAGCCACACUGGAACUGAGACACGGUCCAGACGCCUACGGGAGGCAGCAGUGGGGAAUAUUGGACAAUGGGCGAAAGCCUGAUCCAGCCAUGCCGCGUGUGUGAAGAAGGUCGUCGGAUUGUAAAGCACUUUAAGUUGGGAGGAAGGGGAGUAAGUUAAUAACGUGCUGUUUGGACGUGACCAACAGAAGAAGCACCGGCUAACUUCGUGC
This 485-nucleotide ribosomal RNA is filed under the name uncultured bacterium. Its description in RNAcentral is "partial 16S ribosomal RNA". It matches the Rfam family "Bacterial small subunit ribosomal RNA", at positions 30 to 508 of the family's 1533-position model. The record is from RNAcentral.